AGCACCAAAUGUGCAGCUAGUGAGACAUUUGUUGCUAUAUAUUCAAAUUAUGUUGAAGGAUCGGUCACAGAAGCAGUGCCAGAAUGACGGAGGGAUGACUGAGACCCUUCUGAUCCUUCAGCAGAUACAGACUUCAGGAGCUCAUCAUCUGUGGGGAUGACCUGAGUCCUGCUAAUGCUGGCAACUCCUUAAUGAAUUAUUUCCAACACUUUCCAAAGAAAGUAUAUGAACUGAAUUGCAAACAAAGGCAAUACCUAAACUA
Molecule: long non-coding RNA, 262 nt
Organism: Cygnus atratus (black swan)
Lineage: Eukaryota; Metazoa; Chordata; Aves; Anseriformes; Anatidae
Exons: 3
Source: RefSeq, a predicted model, not a curated record